CACUGGUUUAGCUUGGUUUUUCAGUUGUGUUUGGAGAGCUCUAAAAACUGGUUUUACUAAUGGAAGGCUGCUGAAAAUUGGUGAUGGAUCUACUAGAUUGAAAGAAGAAGACACGGACUAGCAAAGAGGAAGAGCUCCCAGCAGCUAAAUCCUCACUUGCCCUCUCGUUUUUUUCUUUGCUUUCCGUAUUCCCUUCGCCAAAUCUGUCUC
This 210-nucleotide long non-coding RNA is filed under the name Nicotiana benthamiana. Its description in RNAcentral is "long non-coding RNA (NBEN_LNC035091)". Lineage: Eukaryota; Viridiplantae; Streptophyta; Magnoliopsida; Solanales; Solanaceae. The record is from RNAcentral.